Molecule: ribosomal RNA, 162 nt
Filed under: uncultured bacterium
Lineage: Bacteria
Description: partial 16S ribosomal RNA
Rfam family: Bacterial small subunit ribosomal RNA
Source: RNAcentral
UGAGGAAUAUUGGUCAAUGGGCGCAAGCCUGAACGAGCGAUGCCGCGUGAGUGAAGAAGGCCUUCGGGUCGUAAAGCUCUGUUGCGGGGGAAAAAAGGCAGCAUCAGGAAAUGGGUGCUGACUGAUGGUGCCCCGCCAGAAAGUCACGGCUAACUACGUGCC